Molecule: unclassified non-coding RNA, 253 nt
Filed under: uncultured Sphingomonadaceae bacterium
Lineage: Bacteria; Pseudomonadati; Pseudomonadota; Alphaproteobacteria; Sphingomonadales; Sphingomonadaceae
Description: contains 16S-23S intergenic spacer region
Rfam family: Bacterial small subunit ribosomal RNA
Source: RNAcentral
UACGGAGGGAGCUAGCGUUGUUCGGAAUUACUGGGCGUAAAGCGCGCGUAGGCGGCUAUUCAAGUCAGGGGUGAAAUCCCGGGGCUCAACCGCGGAACUGCCGUGGAUACUGGAUGGCUAGAAUCCUGGAGGGGCGAGUGGAAUUCCGAGUGUAGAGGUGAAAUUCGUAGAUAUUCGGAAGAACACCAGUGGCGAAGGCGACUCGCUGGACAGGUAUUGACGCUGAGGUGCGAAAGCGUGGGGCGCAAACAGG